CGUCUUCCCCCAAAACCUAACUCUCUCUUUCCCGCUCCUCUCCCGUUUUCUGGUUCUAGGGUUUGAUGCCCUAAUUUUAUUCCCAUGGCUCUGUUCGUAUUCUUCCACAGCUUUCUUGAACUGCAUCUUCUUGAGCCCGAUUCGCUCUUCUCUCUCUUAAAAUCGCGCUUUUGUUCAUCAUUUUCUUUUGCGGUUCAAUAAAGCUGUGGGAAGAUACACACAGGGCCAACCAAAUUCCGCCUCCGCAAUCAAUCCUCCACCGCCAUCGGCAAAAACAGAUUUGUGUGAGGUUUGUUUGAAGCAAUGGUUUCGGAUGAUGAAUAUGAUUAUUAUUAUAUAUAAUUGAAGCGGCUUUCAGAGCCUAUGGAUCUGUACUUUUACUGUGCCCGUGGAUCAACUAACAGUUUUAUCUGUCUUCACUGCAGCCAUAGAUUUCAUUCCAUCGUUUUUUUUUUCUAAGAGUUGGUGGCUUGAAUUAUUAGAGAAGGAUUAAUCUGAGUAGCAGAGUAAAUGUCAUGUAUGAAAUUAUUCUCUUGUAUUCAAUGCUAUGUUUAAGAGUAUUUUGACUGCAUAACUGAAGGGCCUUUAAUUGGCUUGUUUUUGCCUCAAACUUUCCAUCAAUUCAGGCCACAUCCAAUACAAACCCUUUUGUUCUUCUCA
Molecule: long non-coding RNA, 660 nt
Organism: Cucurbita pepo subsp. pepo (vegetable marrow)
Lineage: Eukaryota; Viridiplantae; Streptophyta; Magnoliopsida; Cucurbitales; Cucurbitaceae
Source: RefSeq, a predicted model, not a curated record